RNAcentral lists this ribosomal RNA (306 nucleotides) under uncultured bacterium. Its description in RNAcentral is "bacterial SSU rRNA". It matches the Rfam family "Bacterial small subunit ribosomal RNA", at positions 490 to 793 of the family's 1533-position model. The record is from RNAcentral.
GCACCGGCUAACUCCGUGCCAGCAGCCGCGGUAAUACGGAGGGUGCGAGCGUUAAUCGGAAUUACUGGGCGUAAAGCGCAUGUAGGCGGCCUGUUAAGUCAGAUGUGAAAGACCCGGGGCUUAACCUCGGAAUUGCAUUUGAAACUGGCAGGCUAGAGUCUUGUAGAGGGGGGUAGGAAUUUCAGGUGUAGCGGUGAAAUGCGUAGAGAUCUGAAGGAAUACCAGUGGCGAAGGCGGCCCCCUGGACAAAGACUGACGCUCAGAUGCGAAAGCGUGGGGAGCAAACAGGAUUAGAUACCCUGGUAG